CCAGACUCCUACGGGAGGCAGCAGUGAGGAAUAUUGGUCAAUGGUCGGAAGACUGAACCAGCCAUGCCGCGUGCAGGAAGAAUGCCUUAUGGGUUGUAAACUGCUUUUAUAUGGGAAGAAUAAGGCGUACGUGUACGUUGAUGACGGUACCAUAUGAAUAAGCAUCGGCUAACUCCGUGCCAGCAGCCGCGGUAAUACGGAGGAUGCGAGCGUUAUUCGGAAUCAUUGGGUUUAAAGGGUCUGUAGGCGGGCUAUUAAGUCAGGGGUGAAAGGUUUCAGCUUAACUGAGAAAUUGCCUUUGAUACUGGUAGUCUUGAAUAUCUGUGAAGUUCUUGGAAUGUGUAGUGUAGCGGUGAAAUGCUUAGAUAUUACACAGAACACCGAUUGCGGAGGCAGGGGACUAACAGACGAUUGACGCUGAGAGACGAAAGCGUGGGGAGCGAACAGGAUUAGAUACCCUGGUAGUCCACGCUGUAAACGAUGGAUACUAGCUGUUUGGAGUAAUUUGAGUGGCUAAGCGAAAGUGACAAGUAUCCCACCUGGGGAGUACGCACGCAAGAAUGAAACUCAAAGGAAUUGACGGGGGCCCGCACAAG
This 596-nucleotide ribosomal RNA is filed under the name uncultured bacterium. Its description in RNAcentral is "bacterial SSU rRNA". It matches the Rfam family "Bacterial small subunit ribosomal RNA", at positions 331 to 929 of the family's 1533-position model. The record is from RNAcentral.